AUCAUUUGCGCAGAGGAUGUUAUCUGCAAGCUUACAGGUUAGGAUAUGUUUAUAAUGCUUGCUUUUUUUCGCUUCCAGCCUGCCUUUGCACAACAAGAGAGACGUCAGGUAUUUGUGCACCCAGUUGCUCAGCAAGAAGCCUUUCUUCUGGAAAACCGAAAAGUAUUUGCUCGUAAAUCUUUACUAUUGGUGGCUUUUUGGUUCUGGCACUUUGUAUUUGUGGCACAUGUUACUUUUCAUCAGAAAGCCAGAAAAUUACACAACAUGUCUCUUUGAGCACCUUGCUGGAUUAUAUCCUUUUCAUUUCAGAUGAGGUUAUCAGAAGUUGUAUUUCUAUUUUCAAUCUUCUCUGCACCUGCUACUAAAGCAUUUCUGAAUUCGUGGACAGUGCAAUGUAGCCUGAGUCGAUCGGAUAUUAAGAUUCUAUAAGAUGAAUACAAACCUUUCUUGUCAGAUGAGGCAGCGUAUAUACAUUCACUGCAGGGUCAGGCGGAGUAUCUGUAGUGACGUUGAUUUGUGCUUAACCACCUCCGCAUGCUUGCUGCAGGGAAUUUCUUAUAUUGCUAGAUGCCAUUGUGGAGUGUUGGUCUAGCUUCUAUAUACGAUGCUCUUUUUGAUGAGAUAUCUUAUGUUGAACCAUUUUUGUUGUGUGUAUGUUAGAACUGUCACAAGGAAAAACUUUGGGAAUUGGCUCGGGGGAGAAGCAAGUCCUGCUUCCUUGCUUCAGUUGUAUGUUCUGACUAUGGAAGUCUAACAGAGGCCGCUAUUGGAGUACAUGACAUCAUCGGUGAGUUAAUGUCAGCUGUAGAGACUCAUUGUUGGAUUAUAAGCAUCUUUGCAAUAGGUCACCUUUUUUUGCUCCAUAUUAAUUAGAAUGGAAUCAUUCGUUUUAUCAGUGAGUUACGUUGGGAUCUAUAAAGAGAUUCAUGUUGGAUUUUAAGCUUCUUCAUAUAGAGGUUAAAACAGCAACCAGCAGAGGAAUUGAAGAGGAGAAAGGUGCUAAUAUGUGUGAAUAUAUCAGUAGGUCGGUCUUUACAAGUUAUCUUUGUAAUUUUCCAGAGACUUGUUCCUUGAUGUGCUGUUUACAGUACUGGGUCAACUUUCAUCCUCCCUUGCUUUGAAACGUUCCUAUUAUAAUAAAGAUGGCACCAAACUAGAGGAGCAAAAGUGAAACUGGUCAAGAAGGACAGUCUUCUUGAUUCUCAACUUGUCAACAAAUCUUCUGAUGAUAGAGCAAAAGAUGUGGGUUUGUUUUUGAGGAAUGAAUCUACCACGUCAUCUUGUUUUGAUCAAUCCUCUGUUUCAUCAUCAUCUGAGGACAGAGAUGAUCAGACCUCGUUGGCCAGGAAUGACUCCUGUAGUUGCACUAGUACUAUAUGCUAUUUAGUCCCCAGAUGUAAGUGUUCUUUGAAAUUUUUACGGAAUCUACUAUGUCAUCUUGCAAAGUUGUAAAUGUUGUUAAGGCAUUAUAUUGCAAAGACGAGGUCAUCUGGUAGGGUAAAUAUUUCAUAGUCUUUUUGUAA
This is a long non-coding RNA of Arabidopsis lyrata subsp. lyrata, 1523 nucleotides long. RefSeq lists it as uncharacterized. Lineage: Eukaryota; Viridiplantae; Streptophyta; Magnoliopsida; Brassicales; Brassicaceae. The transcript has 3 exons. The record is from RefSeq and is a predicted model, not a curated record.